UUUACAAAGUGCAUAAUUGGAUUAAUUUGAACUGGAAUGUGUGCUUUCCUGCAAAAAAGAAACAGGAAAUUUCAUCAUUAUCACAUGAUAAUGCCCAUAAACAAAAUGGAGUUCUAUCAUAGAUACACAAAAACACUAUUGCAUAAAAGCAACAACAUAUUAUAUAUAUUAUUCGAAAGAAAGGAGAAUGCAGAACAAAUACUAUUUUGUUGUUGAAAAAAGGAACACCAGUUUUAUCCACUCAUUUACAUCGCUCCCUCAUAUCAAAUAUACGGAAGAAGAUCAUUGAAGAACAAUUUGCAAAAAUGUUUUCUCUUAGAAUUGAAGGAAAAUGUUAAGUGAAUGGAAUAAUGUAUUCACUGAAUUCUUACGUAGUGGAUUGAAUAACUGUACACAAGCUGAAACAGAAGACAAUUUUAAUUUAAAAUAACACGAAAAGUGUAUAUUUUAUUAUUUAAUCUGCAAAUAUAUAAACAAAUUCUUUAGAACACCACAAAUGGUAUGACAUUCAAAUUGGUUG
Molecule: long non-coding RNA, 520 nt
Filed under: Mytilus galloprovincialis (Mediterranean mussel)
Lineage: Eukaryota; Metazoa; Mollusca; Bivalvia; Mytilida; Mytilidae
Source: RNAcentral